This 253-nucleotide ribosomal RNA is filed under the name uncultured bacterium. RNAcentral's name for it is "partial 16S ribosomal RNA". It matches the Rfam family "Bacterial small subunit ribosomal RNA", at positions 524 to 776 of the family's 1533-position model. The record is from RNAcentral.
UACGGGGGGGGCAAGCGUUGUUCGGAAUUACUGGGCGUAAAGGGCUCGUAGGUGGCCAACUAAGUCAGACGUGAAAUCCCUCGGCUUAACCGGGGAACUGCGUCUGAUACUGGAUGGCUUGAGUUCGGGAGAGGGAUGCGGAAUUCCAGGUGUAGCGGUGAAAUGCGCAGAUAUCAGGAGGAACACCGGUGGCGAAGGCGGGUCUCUGGGCAGUAACUGACGCUGAGGAGCGAAAGCGUGGGGAGCGAACAGG